AUUGAGCGCUGGCGGCAUGCCUUACACAUGCAAGUCGAACGGUAACAGGUCUUCGGAUGCUGACGAGUGGCGAACGGGUGAGUAAUACAUCGGAACGUGCCUAGUAGUGGGGGAUAACUACUCGAAAGAGUGGCUAAUACCGCAUGAGAUCUACGGAUGAAAGCAGGGGAUCGCAAGACCUUGUGCUACUAGAGCGGCCGAUGGCAGAUUAGGUAGUUGGUGGGAUAAAAGCUUACCAAGCCGACGAUCUGUAGCUGGUCUGAGAGGACGAUCAGCCACACUGGGACUGAGACACGGCCCAGACUCCUACGGGAGGCAGCAGUGGGGAAUUUUGGACAAUGGGCGAAAGCCUGAUCCAGCCAUGCCGCGUGCAGGAUGAAGGCCUUCGGGUUGUAAACUGCUUUUGUACGGAACGAAAAGCUCUGGACUAAUACUCUCGGGUCAUGACGGUACCGUAAGAAUAAGCACCGGCUAACUACGUGCCAGCAGCCGCCGUAA
RNAcentral lists this ribosomal RNA (498 nucleotides) under uncultured bacterium. RNAcentral describes it as "partial 16S ribosomal RNA". It matches the Rfam family "Bacterial small subunit ribosomal RNA", at positions 30 to 523 of the family's 1533-position model. The record is from RNAcentral.